AGCCGGGGAGAUAGCGGUGCCCUGUACCUGCAAUCCGCUACAGCAGGGGUGAUGAUUGGUCCCGGGUUUUUGACUGUGGAGCUGCCCAAGACAAGCGAUGUUUGACGUUUUGGUCUUACGCAACGGAACUCUACGAACCAUGUCAGGUCAGGAAUGAAGCAGCAUUAAGUAGAAUCUUUCGUGUGCCGUGAGGGUGCCGAAGCUUAGUUGGCUACCUUGGUAACGUCUG
Molecule: signal recognition particle RNA, 229 nt
Filed under: bovine gut metagenome
Description: Bacterial large signal recognition particle RNA
Rfam family: Bacterial large signal recognition particle RNA
About the family: The signal recognition particle (SRP) is a universally conserved ribonucleoprotein involved in the co-translational targeting of proteins to membranes. Archaeal SRP consists of a 7S RNA and homologues of the eukaryotic SRP19 and SRP54 proteins. In most bacteria, the SRP consists of a 4.5S RNA and the Ffh protein (a homologue of the eukaryotic SRP54 protein).
Source: RNAcentral